This 497-nucleotide ribosomal RNA is filed under the name uncultured bacterium. Its description in RNAcentral is "partial 16S ribosomal RNA". It matches the Rfam family "Bacterial small subunit ribosomal RNA", at positions 28 to 507 of the family's 1533-position model. The record is from RNAcentral.
GAUGAACGCUGGCGGCGUGCCUAAUACUUGCAAGUCGAGCGAACAGACGAGGAGCUUGCUCCUCUGACGUUAGCGGCGGACGGGUGAGUAACACGUGGAUAACCUACCUAUAAGACUGGGAUAACUUCGGGAAACCGGAGCUAAUACCGGAUAAUAUAUUGAACCGCAUGGUUCAAUAGUGAAAGACGGUUUUGCUGUCACUUCUAGAUGGAUCCGCGCCGCAUUAGCUAGUUGGUAAGGUAACGGCUUACCAAGGCAACGAUGCGUAGCCGACCUGAGAGGGUGAUCGGCCACACUGGAACUGAGACACGGUCCAGACUCCUACGGGAGGCAGCAGUAGGGAAUCUUCCGCAAUGGGCGAAAGCCUGACGGAGCAACGCCGCGUGAGUGAUGAAGGUCUUCGGAUCGUAAAACUCUGUUAUUAGGGAAGAACAAAUGUGUAAGUAACUAUGCACGUCUUGACGGUACCUAAUCAGAAAGCCACGGCUAACUACGUG